RNAcentral lists this ribosomal RNA (483 nucleotides) under uncultured bacterium. RNAcentral describes it as "partial 16S ribosomal RNA". It matches the Rfam family "Bacterial small subunit ribosomal RNA", at positions 30 to 507 of the family's 1533-position model. The record is from RNAcentral.
UUGAACGCUGGCGGCAGGCCUAACACAUGCAAGUCGAGCGGAUGAAGGGAGCUUGCUCCUGGAUUCAGCAGCGGACGGGUGAGUAAUGCCUAGGAAUCUGCCUGGUAGUGGGGGAUAACGUCCGGAAACGGGCGCUAAUACCGCAUACGUCCUGAGGGAGAAAGUGGGGGAUCUUCGGACCUCACGCUAUCAGAUGAGCCUAGGUCGGAUUAGCUAGUUGGUGGGGUAAAGGCCUACCAAGGCGACGAUCCGUAACUGGUCUGAGAGGAUGAUCAGUCACACUGGAACUGAGACACGGUCCAGACUCCUACGGGAGGCAGCAGUGGGGAAUAUUGGACAAUGGGCGAAAGCCUGAUCCAGCCAUGCCGCGUGUGUGAAGAAGGUCUUCGGAUUGUAAAGCACUUUAAGUUGGGAGGAAGGGCAGUAAGUUAAUACCUUGCUGUUUUGACGUUACCAACAGAAUAAGCACCGGCUAACUUCGUG